GAUGAACGCUGGCGGCGUGCCUAAUACAUGCAAGUCGAGCGAACGGACGAGAAGCUUGCUUCUCUGAUGUUAGCGGCGGACGGGUGAGUAACACGUGGAUAACCUACCUAUAAGACUGGGAUAACUUCGGGAAACCGGAGCUAAUACCGGAUAAUAUUUUGAACCGCAUGGUUCAAAAGUGAAAGACGGUCUUGCUGUCACUUAUAGAUGGAUCCGCGCUGCAUUAGCUAGUUGGUAAGGUAACGGCUUACCAAGGCAACGAUGCAUAGCCGACCUGAGAGGGUGAUCGGCCACACUGGACCUGAGACACGGUCCAGACUCCGACGUGACGCAGCAGUAGGGCAUCUUCCGCAAUGGGCGAAAGCCGGACGGAGCAACGCCGAGUGAGUGAUGAAGGUCUUCGGAUCUUAAAACUCUGUUAUUAGGGAACAACAUAUGUGUAAGUAACUGUGCACAUCUUGCCGGUACCUAAUCAGAAAGCCACGGCUAACUACGUG
This 497-nucleotide ribosomal RNA is filed under the name uncultured bacterium. RNAcentral's name for it is "partial 16S ribosomal RNA". It matches the Rfam family "Bacterial small subunit ribosomal RNA", at positions 28 to 507 of the family's 1533-position model. The record is from RNAcentral.